This 252-nucleotide ribosomal RNA is filed under the name uncultured bacterium. RNAcentral describes it as "partial 16S ribosomal RNA". It matches the Rfam family "Bacterial small subunit ribosomal RNA", at positions 524 to 776 of the family's 1533-position model. The record is from RNAcentral.
UACGGAGGAUGCGAGCGUUAUCCGGAUUUAUUGGGUUUAAAGGGUGCGUAGGCGGACGCUUAAGUCAGCGGUAAAAUUGCGGGGCUCAACCUCGUCGAGCCGUUGAAACUGGGUGCCUUGAGUGGGCGAGAAGUACGCGGAAUGCGUGGUGUAGCGGUGAAAUGCAUAGAUAUCACGCAGAACUCCGAUUGCGAAGGCAGCGUACCGGCGCCCUACUGACGCUGAAACACGAAGGCGUGGGUAUCGAACAGG